Myxocyprinus asiaticus (Chinese sucker) is the source of this 1140-nucleotide long non-coding RNA. RefSeq lists it as uncharacterized. The record is from RefSeq and is a predicted model, not a curated record. The transcript has 3 exons. Lineage: Eukaryota; Metazoa; Chordata; Actinopteri; Cypriniformes; Catostomidae.
ACAUAUAAAUCUUCAUGCUAGCUGAUUUUUUAAACUAUGAUCAAUAUCUAUAAACAAUAACCUUUCAAAUGCAUGCCAUGUUUUUUAUUUAUUUUUUAUUUUUUUACUUUUGCUAGCUAGAUGCAAAUUAGCAUUAAGCAGUCAACCAUGUUACUGUCAGCACUGUUACUAUCAAUCCUGUUACUUGUUGAGAGUGGAAUGUUUGUUGGAGUAUUUUUGCGAUUAUUAGCCAGUAUUAAUUGUUAAAAUGAUUAUGUUUGUUUUAUAUACGUGUAAAGGUUAGUGAAAAGUAGAAUGCCAUUAAGUGCAGCAGAGAAACAAAGGCGAUAUCCAGCCCGUCGAAACGCGGAUCCCAAGAGAAGGACGAAGUAUCUGGAGACAGAUAGGAAAAAAUGGAAGAGAGACAGGAAGAUUAGGAAAAUAAAAACUACAAAUAUGCUCAGUGAGAGAGAGCAGAGGUCAAAGAGAAGAAAGUGGAGACAAAGUGUAGGGUUAUGAAAAUGGCAGCAUCAGUUGCACUGAACAGUCUGACAACUCUCAGCUUUAUUUGUGUAAAAUUAGUAAUCUACUAAUAAUGGGAGGGAUAGAGUAUAUAUGGAGUAUGCAAUAAUAGCUACUGUAAAAGAGUGAAAUAUAUAUAGUAUAUUAUUUUAUAGUCAGAGGUAAACAUUGUCAGUCAUUUGGUAUUUUUGGUUUGAAUUUCAGGCAAUGUGAAGCAGGGCAAAAACGUUCAAAAAUGCAUAGAAAAGUGUUGAAUGAGGCACUAUGGAAUCUGGAAAGAAAACUGCAAAAGGAAGGUGUAACAACUUCACAGCAGAAGGGAAGGAGAACACCGGGAAGCGGGUUUUCCAGGCUCAGGUGGGCAUGGAGGAGAAGGGCUGGGGUAGUGAAAAAAGGCAGACAAGAUUCUCUAAUGUACGUUGUGAAACCAAGAGUGAUGGAGACGGAGACACAGACACAUUGAACUGGGGCAGUCCAGCUCUAUAAGGGAGUGCUCCAACACUUCCAGUCACUAUCACGCCAUGGAAGUGAUUCAAUUGCCGUUGGGUUCAUCUCCUGGCUGUUACUACUCAAGACAUGCUCAGAGAAUAUUUUGAAGUGUUUUUUGUUGUACAUACAAUAACAUGCCCCUGAACAGUC